This 470-nucleotide long non-coding RNA is filed under the name Vigna radiata. RNAcentral describes it as "long non-coding RNA (VRAD_LNC009193)". The record is from RNAcentral. Lineage: Eukaryota; Viridiplantae; Streptophyta; Magnoliopsida; Fabales; Fabaceae.
CCAGANAAGACUAAUAAUCAAAAAAGAUCUGAUAGCAACAUUGUCUUAAUGAGUACAUCAAAAUACAACUGACAUUACAAUUAAAAGAUGUAACCAAUAUAAGGUCAAAGUUCAAAGUUUCAAAAUAAAGUGAAAUAUGACUUCAUUCAGCAGCAGCAGGCACGUGUGUUGUUUGACCAGUAGGUUGCUCAGUAGGAGGUACUGUCACUUGUGGUGUUUGAUCAGUAAGUUGCUCACUAGGUUGCUGAGUAGCUUGCUCAGUAGCUUGCUCAGUAGCUUCUGCAGCAGGAGGUUGGUCAGCUGGAAUAUUUGUUGUAGUUGGUCGUUGUGGACAACAUCUUUUGUUGUGACCAAGUUGUUUGCAAAUAGCACAUGAUUUUUUGCUCCCACCCUUUCUUAGUUCAGUAUCAUUCUUCUUCAACUCCCAACUCUCUAGCCUUCGUUUUUUCUUGGGCCUACCAGGCAUUGGC